UAUUGAUUGCACAUGAAGUCUGAGGA
RNAcentral lists this non-coding RNA (26 nucleotides) under Rattus norvegicus (Norway rat). The record is from RNAcentral. Lineage: Eukaryota; Metazoa; Chordata; Mammalia; Rodentia; Muridae.